GCGGGCGGGGGGCUACGCGACGUGCGAGAACGUUCGACGCGAUUCCGGAUUCGGCGGUUUUCGCGGUUCUUGAAGAGUGUAGGGUAGAAAAAAAAAAAACCGAAGAGUACGACGAACUUCGUUCGGAAGGGAAAACCCCCGUAUGGUACGCGUGUUGCGUAGUUGGAAUUUGACGUUAUCAAAAAAUGUUUUUUUCCUCCAAAAUGU
This is a non-coding RNA of Cinara cedri, 207 nucleotides long. The record is from the annotation of a GenBank genome assembly. Lineage: Eukaryota; Metazoa; Arthropoda; Insecta; Hemiptera; Aphididae.